UUUUUUUUUUUUUUUUUUUGUUGUUUUUUUUGUUGUUUUUUUUUUUUUUUUUUUUUGGUCCUUUUGUCUUUUCUAAGGCCGACCCGUGGCAUAUGGAAAUUCCUAGGCUGGGGGUCAAAUCGGAACUGUAGCUGCCAGCCUACACCAGAGCCACAGCAACACAGGAUCUGAGGCACAUCUGUGACCUACACCACAGUUCACAGCAACGCCAGAUCCUUAACCCACUGACCGAGGCCAGAUAUCGAACCCCAACCUAAUGGUUCCUAUCUGAUGGAUUAGCAGCUUCUUUAAUGAGGAUGGGAGUGGGAAUAGAACCUUUGGGCUACCCUUCCAAAGCUAGCUCAUAAAUGCCUAGAGAAUAAGAAUCUCUUACUUUGGAUUUUUUUUUGUCCUUUUUUCGUCAAGGCCUUUUAAUUGGCCGUGUAAUCUUUGUUUGUCUAAUCAGCCACACCCAAUCCCAACUGACACACAAGAUGAAGCCCAUCAGCCAUACCUGAACUAACUGGUAAGAUGAAGCUAAAGCCGGAUGGAUUUUUUUGUGUGUGUUGCUGGGGAUUUCUUUUUUUUUUAUUACAGUUGAUUUACAAUGUUCUAUCAAUUUCUGCUGUACAGCAAAGCACCCCAGUCAUAUACACACAGACAUUCUUUUUCUCACAUUAUCCUCUAUCAUGUUCCAUCAUAAGUGACUAGAUAUAGUUCCCUGUGCUAUACAGCAGGAUCUCAUUGCUCAUCCACUCCAAAUAUAAUAGUUUGCAUCUAUUGACCACAAACUCCCAGUCCAUCCCACUCCCUCCCCUCCUCCCCCUUGCCAACCACAAAUCUGUUCUCCAAGUUCAUGAGUUUGUUUCUUUUCUGUAGAUAGAGGUUCAUGUGUGCGAUACAUUAGAUUCCAGAUAUAAGUGAUACCAUAUGGUAUUUGUCUUUCUCUUUCUGACUUACUUCACUUAGUAUGAGAGUCUCUAGCUCCAUCCAUGUUGCUGCAAAUGGCAUUAUUUUGUUCUUUUUGUGGCUGAAUAGUAUUCCAUUGUGUAUAUAUACCACAUCUUAAUCCAUUUAUCUGUCAAUGGACAUUUAGGCUGUUUUCAUGUCUUGGGUAUUGUGAAUGGUGCUUCAGUGAACAUAGGGGUGCAUGUACCUUUUUUAAUGAUUUUAUAUCCUUUGCAUGCUUGGUGAGGUUCUGACCUCAUAGUGGGGGCUCAAACCAUAUUUGUUGACUGGUGUCCCAAAAGGUGUCAUUUACAUUGGGAGUAAGUUCUAAAUGAGUCUAGAAAGCAGUAUUAAAGAAAUUAGUUUGCCUCUAAAAGUAAAGUACUAGAGAAGGAGUACUGUGUUUUUUUCCCCAUGACUCCUAGCCAGAUAGCAAGAUAAAGAGAAAUUCCACAUGCAGCCACACUCUGAACUAGAUUAGAACUUAGAUUUUAUUUUGGGAUACAUCUGGGCCCAUUGGAAUUUUUAUUAAUUGUAUGUUUAAUCCAUUAGAGCAGUUGUUCAGCUCUGUCUACCUAAUGCCUAAUCUGGGCUUAAAUGAUAUGCCUAAAAGAAAAAGAGAAAAAAAAUUGAAAAUAUAUCUGGCUAGUGUAAAAAUGAAAUGAAAACAUUGCAGGGAGCCAAGGCUAAUGAAAAUAACCUGUAUGAUUUAAAAAAAAAAAUCACAUUAGCUUUGAAAACCCACAUCCCUUCCUUGAAUUUCUAGAGAGAAUGACUAGAUGGUGUCAACUGAAGUUUCCACAUCUUGAUCCCUGUCUAGUUUCAGCAGGUUCCAAUAACAUUUGAGACUCAUUCUCAUUUCUUAAAUAAUAAAAACUCCCCAACAGUUACAGCACCUUACUGCCAAUGUUAAUUGGAAUUCCAAUUUCAACAAUUUCUGUAGGCUUCGAGAAAAAUAUUGACUGUGUAAAGAGUAAGAGAAAUAAACUGUAGGAGACUGACAAGUUGGAUUUACAUAGAUGUUUCCCUUUCUUUGGAGGAAAGUUCUUGAGCUGAGAGAAGAAAUAGGCACCUGCAGGGGCCUAGCUUUGAACUUUCUCAGCAGACAAGCUGCACUGGCUGAUAGAGAAGAGAUCAAAGGGAGAAAGGGCCUUUGCUGCCUUGGACUUCCUGUUCCUGGGAAAAUGGAAAGAACAAUGAACUUAGAAGACCUGAGUUCAGGUUUCUCCCAGAUGUUUGACCUGGAGCAUGUGAUGUUCCCCCUCCAAACCUUGAUUUCCUCUCUG
This 2213-nucleotide long non-coding RNA is filed under the name Sus scrofa (pig). RNAcentral's name for it is "lncRNA (ENSSSCG00060035999.1)". Lineage: Eukaryota; Metazoa; Chordata; Mammalia; Artiodactyla; Suidae. The record is from RNAcentral.